UACAGAGGUCUCAAGCGUUGUUCGGAUUCAUUGGGCGUAAAGGGUGCGUAGGUGGCGCGCUAAGUCAGGUGUGAAAUUUCGGAGCUUAACUCCGAAACUGCAUUUGAUACUGGCGUGCUUGAGGACUGGAGAGGGGAGCAGAAUUCACGGUGUAGCAGUGAAAUGCGUAGAUAUCGUGAGGAAUACCAGAGGCGAAGGCGGCGCCCUGGACAAAUGCUGACGCUCAGGCACGAAAGCGUGGGGAGCAAAAGGG
This 253-nucleotide ribosomal RNA is filed under the name uncultured bacterium. Its description in RNAcentral is "partial 16S ribosomal RNA". It matches the Rfam family "Bacterial small subunit ribosomal RNA", at positions 524 to 776 of the family's 1533-position model. The record is from RNAcentral.